UUAAGCGACUAAGCGUACACGGUGGAUGCCCUGGCAGUCAGAGGCGAUGAAGGACGUGCUAAUCUGCGAAAAGCGUCGGUAAGGUGAUAUGAACCGUUAUAACCGGCGAUGUCCGAAUGGGGAAACCCAGUGCAAUUCGUUGCACUAUCGUUAACUGAAUACAUAGGUUAACGAGGCGAACCGGGGGAACUGAAACAUCUAAGUACCCCGAGGAAAAGAAAUCAACCGAGAUUCCCCCAGUAGCGGCGAGCGAACGGGGAGCAGCCCAGAGUCUGAAUCAGCUUGUGUGUUAGUGGAACGGUCUGGAAAGUCCGACGGUACAGGGUGAUAGUCCCGUACACCAAAAUGCACAGGCUGUGAACUCGAAGAGUAGGGCGGGACACGUGGUAUCCUGUCUGAAUAUGGGGGGACCAUCCUCCAAGGCUAAAUACUCCUGACUGACCGAUAGUGAACCAGUACCGUGAGGGAAAGGCGAAAAGAACCCCGGCGAGGGGAGUGAAAAAGAACCUGAAACCGUGUACGUACAAGCAGUGGGAGCACCUUCGGGUGUGACUGCGUACCUUUUGUAUAAUGGGUCAGCGACUUAUAUUCUGUAGCAAGGUUAACCGUAUAGGGGAGCCGCAGGGAAACCGAGUCUUAACUGGGCGUUAAGUUGCAGGGUAUAGACCCGAAACCCGGUGAUCUAGCCAUGGGCAGGUUGAAGGUUGGGUAACACUAACUGGAGGACCGAACCGACUAAUGUUGAAAAAUUAGCGGAUGACUUGUGGCUGGGGGUGAAAGGCCAAUCAAACCGGGAGAUAGCUGGUUCUCCCCGAAAGCUAUUUAGGUAGCGCCUCGUGAAUUCAUCUUCGGGGGUAGAGCACUGUUUCGGCUAGGGGGUCAUCCCGACUUACCAACCCGAUGCAAACUACGAAUACCGAAGAAUGUUAUCACGGGAGACACACGGCGGGUGCUAACGUCCGUCGUGAAGAGGGAAACAACCCAGACCGCCAGCUAAGGUCCCAAAGUCAUGGUUAAGUGGGAAACGAUGUGGGAAGGCACAGACAGCCAGGAUGUUGGCUUAGAAGCAGCCAUCAUUUAAAGAAAGCGUAAUAGCUCACUGGUCGAGUCGGCCUGCGCGGAAGAUGUAACGGGGCUAAACCAUGCACCGAAGCUGCGGCAGCGACACUAUGUGUUGUUGGGUAGGGGAGCGUUCUGUAAGCCUGCGAAGGUGACCUGUGAGGGUUGCUGGAGGUAUCAGAAGUGCGAAUGCUGACAUAAGUAACGAUAAAGCGGGUGAAAAGCCCGCUCGCCGGAAGACCAAGGGUUCCUGUCCAACGUUAAUCGGGGCAGGGUGAGUCGACCCCUAAGGCGAGGCCGAAAGGCGUAGUCGAUGGGAAACAGGUUAAUAUUCCUGUACUUGGUGUUACUGCGAAGGGGGGACGGAGAAGGCUAUGUUAGCCGGGCGACGGUUGUCCCGGUUUAAGCAUGUAGGCUGAUUGUCCAGGCAAAUCCGGAUAAUCAAGGCUGAGGUGUGAUGACGAGGCACUACGGUGCUGAAGUAACAAAUGCCCUGCUUCCAGGAAAAGCCUCUAAGCAUCAGGUAACAUCAAAUCGUACCCCAAACCGACACAGGUGGUCAGGUAGAGAAUACCAAGGCGCUUGAGAGAACUCGGGUGAAGGAACUAGGCAAAAUGGUGCCGUAACUUCGGGAGAAGGCACGCUGGUGUGUAGGUGAAGUCCCUGCGGAUGGAGCUGAGACCAGUCGAAGAUACCAGCUGGCUGCAACUGUUUAUUAAAAACACAGCACUGUGCAAACACGAAAGUGGACGUAUACGGUGUGACGCCUGCCCGGUGCCGGAAGGUUAAUUGAUGGGGUUAUCCGUAAGGAGAAGCUCUUGAUCGAAGCCCCGGUAAACGGCGGCCGUAACUAUAACGGUCCUAAGGUAGCGAAAUUCCUUGUCGGGUAAGUUCCGACCUGCACGAAUGGCGUAAUGAUGGCCAGGCUGUCUCCACCCGAGACUCAGUGAAAUUGAACUCGCUGUGAAGAUGCAGUGUACCCGCGGCAAGACGGAAAGACCCCGUGAACCUUUACUAUAGCUUGACACUGAACAUUGAGCCUUGAUGUGUAGGAUAGGUGGGAGGCUUUGAAGCGUGGACGCCAGUCUGCGUGGAGCCAACCUUGAAAUACCACCCUUUAAUGUUUGAUGUUCUAACGUUGGCCCCUUACCGGGGUUGCGGACAGUGUCUGGUGGGUAGUUUGACUGGGGCGGUCUCCUCCCAAAGCGUAACGGAGGAGCACGAAGGUUAGCUAAUCCUGGUCGGACAUCAGGAGGUUAGUGCAAUGGCAUAAGCUAGCUUGACUGCGAGCGUGACGGCGCGAGCAGGUGCGAAAGCAGGUCAUAGUGAUCCGGUGGUUCUGAAUGGAAGGGCCAUCGCUCAACGGAUAAAAGGUACUCCGGGGAUAACAGGCUGAUACCGCCCAAGAGUUCAUAUCGACGGCGGUGUUUGGCACCUCGAUGUCGGCUCAUCACAUCCUGGGGCUGAAGUAGGUCCCAAGGGUAUGGCUGUUCGCCAUUUAAAGUGGUACGCGAGCUGGGUUUAGAACGUCGUGAGACAGUUCGGUCCCUAUCUGCCGUGGGCGCUGGAGAAUUGAGGGGGGCUGCUCCUAGUACGAGAGGACCGGAGUGGACGCAUCACUGGUGUUCGGGUUGUCAUGCCAAUGGCACUGCCCGGUAGCUAAAUGCGGAAGAGAUAAGUGCUGAAAGCAUCUAAGCACGAAACUUGCCCCGAGAUGAGUUCUCCCUGAGACUUUAAGUCUCCUGAAGGAACGUUAAAGACGAUGACGUUGAUAGGCCGGGUGUGUAAGCGCA
RNAcentral lists this ribosomal RNA (2852 nucleotides) under Klebsiella pneumoniae. RNAcentral describes it as "bacterial LSU rRNA". It matches the Rfam family "Bacterial large subunit ribosomal RNA". The record is from RNAcentral. Lineage: Bacteria; Pseudomonadati; Pseudomonadota; Gammaproteobacteria; Enterobacterales; Enterobacteriaceae.